RNAcentral lists this unclassified non-coding RNA (1759 nucleotides) under Hevea brasiliensis (rubber tree). Lineage: Eukaryota; Viridiplantae; Streptophyta; Magnoliopsida; Malpighiales; Euphorbiaceae. The record is from RNAcentral.
AUCAAGGAAACAAGUAAUUAUGAAUCAAACAUCUUUGUUUUGAUCAAGGAGAGUAUGGAGGUAGAAGAAUUGGUUUGUUAAUGACUGUAUUUAUAGCGCCGAUCAUCUCAUGCGGUGACGAGAAUCCAUCUUUACCCAUGUAGAAGAGGUGAACAAUCUUGCUUGUUUUCCAGAACAGAUCUUUGCAAACUUUGGGAACCACACUCCCCUCUGUUUGGACCACCAUCCGCAGCAACUCUCUUCUAUGGCUCUCGAUUAGUCUCUUGGUCUCACUUAUGGCCUCUUCCUCAGAAACACUGCCAUCGCCAUGAAUCACGCGUAAUGCCAAGCUGUUGAGUUUUCCUUGUUCGCUUUCUCUCUUGACGGUCGUGAGAUCAUUCAAGAGCCUUGAAAUUAUGCUCAUAUGCCUAAAUAGAUCGUCAUAUUCCUUGCUCUUUACUGCUUCCUCUGACAAUUUGCACCCAAGAAAAUAAAGAGGUACGAGAACUACAGGUCCCAAGGCGACGCUCACGUAUGCACUCGACAUAUAAUCAUCCACUGAGGGCACCGAUUCACCUCUUGCCCACUCGAACUCUCUCCACAUGGUCUCCAGUAAUAUGAGCCAUAUCUCAAUUAAGUGAUCUUUGACGCUUCUUCCUUGUUCUAUGCCAGCCUUGACUGCAAACUCGUUGGUUGUAUCAUAAACUGCAGAGAAAAUAAUCUCAAUUUGUUCCGAGCAGAACCCCACCUCUGAAUGUUUAUCCCACUUUUUCACCAAUUCAAACAUGUUUAGUAUCUCUUUUUCGGAUCCGCCAACAUCGAAUAGAUCAUCAAUCAGAGUUACAAGAACAGUAAAUUUAGCCCAUGCAAUUCUAGCAUCCGAGUGCUCGGGAGAGAAAAGUACUGAGGCAGCAGCGAAAAACCCAUAAGUUAUCUUCUGUCUUGCAAACUUAAGCUCAUCCAUCCUGUAUUCUUUGACCCAUCUUUCCAAGAUCUUAAGUUCUUUUUGGUGUAUGUAUUGGCAGGCAUUAAAAUCCUUCAGUGACAAAUCCAGCAAAUACUUGUUGUCGAUAUUGGAGCACCUGUAAGAUGUUUUGAGAAGUCGGACAUUGUCUAUUUCUUGCAACUCUAUGCUUUUCCUGUUCUCAAGCCUUUCCAAACUGGCAUGAGGAUACUUGAGAGCAUAUUCAACCUCCUUGUGCAAUUGCUUCUCGCCAACAGCACCUUUUCCUAUCGCCAGUUUGAGAAAGGAGCUAGUCCACACAUAUAUUUUCUCAAGAAUGUGUUCACUUGGGAGUAUUGCCAUCUGCGAAGCUUUGUAUAAUUCAAGAAUUGUGUUCGUGUCUUUGUACUGUUCGCUGACAGAAUUGAAGAACUGCUCUUGCUCAUCAAGUCCUGCGAAUACAUCAGAGGAAAUUUCAUAUCCAUUCAUCCUUAGAAGUCGAAAGCCCAUGGCAAGACAGGCAAUGUCUGAGAAUAUUUCCUCAUCUCCUUGCAGCCAGCAUCUGUAUAUUUCAUCCAGAAUUGUUUGAAUCUCGUUUCUGAAAUAUUGAUCUAUGCCCAGCCUCUCGAGUUUAUCAACAGUACAUAGGCGAGCAUAUAUAUCUAAAGGGUAGAUUGUUGGAACUGCAUUUUCGUAUCUUUGAAGAAGGGAAUUCAAGUACAUGAAGCAUUUAUCAUCAUUCAGGUGAAGCAAAGCUGCUGCUGUAGUGGAUGGGGAAUUAAACAGAGACCCAUUGCUCCUCUGAUAUUUCAUUAUAUCCUUCCACUCGUCAGGUUU